GCAGGCGCCGCGGGCCAAGGGCCGCCCGAGACGGUCCCCAGAGAGCCACCGGAGGAGCAGCUCACCUGAGAGACGGAGCCCCGGCUCGCCCGUGUGCAGAGCGGACAGGGCAAAAUCUCAGCAAGUUCGGACCUCUAGUACAAUAAGGCGAACCUCCUCUUUGGAUACAAUAACAGGACCUUACCUCACAGGACAGUGGCCACGGGAUCCUCAUGUUCACUACCCUUCAUGCAUGAAAGACAAAGCUACUCAGACACCUAGCUGUUGGGCAGAAGAGGGUGCAGAAAAGAGGUCACAUCAGCGUUCUGCGUCAUGGGGGAGUGCUGAUCAACUAAAAGAGGUAAGUUAUUUCUGUUUUCCGUCUGUAACCUUUUUUGGUCCUAGUAGAUAACCUUAGUAUUUCUUGAAUGUAAUGACACUUUUAAAAUUUAUCCUAACCUUACCUCUUUCAGUAAAGUUAGAACAAAUUCUAGGGUAAGGUUAGAAUAAAUUCUA
Molecule: small RNA, 495 nt
Filed under: Pongo abelii (Sumatran orangutan)
Lineage: Eukaryota; Metazoa; Chordata; Mammalia; Primates; Hominidae
Description: retained intron
Source: RNAcentral